This 253-nucleotide ribosomal RNA is filed under the name uncultured bacterium. Its description in RNAcentral is "partial 16S ribosomal RNA". It matches the Rfam family "Bacterial small subunit ribosomal RNA", at positions 524 to 776 of the family's 1533-position model. The record is from RNAcentral.
UACGAAGGGGGCUAGCGUUGCUCGGAAUCACUGGGCGUAAAGAGCGCGCAGGCGGUCGUUCAAGUCGAGUGUGAAAGCCCCCGGCUCAACUGGGGAGGGUCACUCGAUACUGAUCGACUCGAAGGCAGGAGAGGGUAGUGGAAUUCCCGGUGUAGUGGUGAAAUGCGUAGAUAUCGGGAGGAACACCAGUGGCGAAGGCGACUACCUGGCCUGUUCUUGACGCUGAGGCGCGAAAGCUAGGGGAGCAAACGGG